GGGUUGUGAGGUUAAGCGACUAAGCGUACACGGUGGAUGCCCUGGCAGUCAGAGGCGAUGAAGGACGUGCUAAUCUGCGAUAAGCGUCGGUAAGGUGAUAUGAACCGUUAUAACCGGCGAUUUCCGAAUGGGGAAACCCAGUGUGUUUCGACACACUAUCAUUAACUGAAUCCAUAGGUUAAUGAGGCGAACCGGGGGAACUGAAACAUCUAAGUACCCCGAGGAAAAGAAAUCAACCGAGAUUCCCCCAGUAGCGGCGAGCGAACGGGGAGCAGCCCAGAGCCUGAAUCAGUGUGUGUGUUAGUGGAAGCGUCUGGAAAGGCGCGCGAUACAGGGUGACAGCCCCGUACACAAAAAUGCACAUAUUGUGAGCUCGAUGAGUAGGGCGGGACACGUGGUAUCCUGUCUGAAUAUGGGGGGACCAUCCUCCAAGGCUAAAUACUCCUGACUGACCGAUAGUGAACCAGUACCGUGAGGGAAAGGCGAAAAGAACCCCGGCGAGGGGAGUGAAAAAGAACCUGAAACCGUGUACGUACAAGCAGUGGGAGCCUCUUUUAUGGGGUGACUGCGUACCUUUUGUAUAAUGGGUCAGCGACUUAUAUUCUGUAGCAAGGUUAACCGAAUAGGGGAGCCGAAGGGAAACCGAGUCUUAACUGGGCGUUAAGUUGCAGGGUAUAGACCCGAAACCCGGUGAUCUAGCCAUGGGCAGGUUGAAGGUUGGGUAACACUAACUGGAGGACCGAACCGACUAAUGUUGAAAAAUUAGCGGAUGACUUGUGGCUGGGGGUGAAAGGCCAAUCAAACCGGGAGAUAGCUGGUUCUCCCCGAAAGCUAUUUAGGUAGCGCCUCGUGAAUUCAUCUCCGGGGGUAGAGCACUGUUUCGGCAAGGGGGUCAUCCCGACUUACCAACCCGAUGCAAACUGCGAAUACCGGAGAAUGUUAUCACGGGAGACACACGGCGGGUGCUAACGUCCGUCGUGAAGAGGGAAACAACCCAGACCGCCAGCUAAGGUCCCAAAGUCAUGGUUAAGUGGGAAACGAUGUGGGAAGGCCCAGACAGCCAGGAUGUUGGCUUAGAAGCAGCCAUCAUUUAAAGAAAGCGUAAUAGCUCACUGGUCGAGUCGGCCUGCGCGGAAGAUGUAACGGGGCUAAACCAUGCACCGAAGCUGCGGCAGCGACGCUUAUGCGUUGUUGGGUAGGGGAGCGUUCUGUAAGCCUGUGAAGGUGUGCUGUGAGGCAUGCUGGAGGUAUCAGAAGUGCGAAUGCUGACAUAAGUAACGAUAAAGCGGGUGAAAAGCCCGCUCGCCGGAAGACCAAGGGUUCCUGUCCAACGUUAAUCGGGGCAGGGUGAGUCGACCCCUAAGGCGAGGCCGAAAGGCGUAGUCGAUGGGAAACAGGUUAAUAUUCCUGUACUUGGUGUUACUGCGAAGGGGGGACGGAGAAGGCUAUGUUGGCCGGGCGACGGUUGUCCCGGUUUAAGCGUGUAGGCUGGUUUUCCAGGUAAAUCCGGAAAAUCAAGGCUGAGGCGUGAUGACGAGGCACUACGGUGCUGAAGCAACAAAUGCCCUGCUUCCAGGAAAAGCCUCUAAGCAUCAGGUAACAUCAAAUCGUACCCCAAACCGACACAGGUGGUCAGGUAGAGAAUACCAAGGCGCUUGAGAGAACUCGGGUGAAGGAACUAGGCAAAAUGGUGCCGUAACUUCGGGAGAAGGCACGCUGAUAUGUAGGUGAAGUCCCUCGCGGAUGGAGCUGAAAUCAGUCGAAGAUACCAGCUGGCUGCAACUGUUUAUUAAAAACACAGCACUGUGCAAACACGAAAGUGGACGUAUACGGUGUGACGCCUGCCCGGUGCCGGAAGGUUAAUUGAUGGGGUUAGCGCAAGCGAAGCUCUUGAUCGAAGCCCCGGUAAACGGCGGCCGUAACUAUAACGGUCCUAAGGUAGCGAAAUUCCUUGUCGGGUAAGUUCCGACCUGCACGAAUGGCGUAAUGAUGGCCAGGCUGUCUCCACCCGAGACUCAGUGAAAUUGAACUCGCUGUGAAGAUGCAGUGUACCCGCGGCAAGACGGAAAGACCCCGUGAACCUUUACUAUAGCUUGACACUGAACAUUGAGCCUUGAUGUGUAGGAUAGGUGGGAGGCUUAGAAGUGUGGACGCCAGUCUGCAUGGAGCCGACCUUGAAAUACCACCCUUUAAUGUUUGAUGUUCUAACGUGGACCCGUAAUCCGGGUUGCGGACAGUGUCUGGUGGGUAGUUUGACUGGGGCGGUCUCCUCCUAAAGAGUAACGGAGGAGCACGAAGGUUGGCUAAUCCUGGUCGGACAUCAGGAGGUUAGUGCAAUGGCAUAAGCCAGCUUGACUGCGAGCGUGACGGCGCGAGCAGGUGCGAAAGCAGGUCAUAGUGAUCCGGUGGUUCUGAAUGGAAGGGCCAUCGCUCAACGGAUAAAAGGUACUCCGGGGAUAACAGGCUGAUACCGCCCAAGAGUUCAUAUCGACGGCGGUGUUUGGCACCUCGAUGUCGGCUCAUCACAUCCUGGGGCUGAAGUAGGUCCCAAGGGUAUGGCUGUUCGCCAUUUAAAGUGGUACGCGAGCUGGGUUUAGAACGUCGUGAGACAGUUCGGUCCCUAUCUGCCGUGGGCGCUGGAGAACUGAGGGGGGCUGCUCCUAGUACGAGAGGACCGGAGUGGACGCAUCACUGGUGUUCGGGUUGUCAUGCCAAUGGCACUGCCCGGUAGCUAAAUGCGGAAGAGAUAAGUGCUGAAAGCAUCUAAGCACGAAACUUGCCCCGAGAUGAGUUCUCCCUGACCCUUUAAGGGUCCUGAAGGAACGUUGAAGACGACGACGUUGAUAGGCCGGGUGUGUAAGCGCAGCGAUGCGUUGAGCUAACCGGUACUAAUGAACCGUGAGGCUUAACCUUACAACGCCGAAG
This 2925-nucleotide ribosomal RNA is filed under the name Escherichia coli. RNAcentral's name for it is "23S ribosomal RNA". It matches the Rfam family "Bacterial large subunit ribosomal RNA". The record is from RNAcentral. Lineage: Bacteria; Pseudomonadati; Pseudomonadota; Gammaproteobacteria; Enterobacterales; Enterobacteriaceae.